GAUAUUCAUAAUGUGGGACCUUUAAAUCCAAGAUGAAUCAGCAUGGCUCUUAUCCCGUCUCUCUUCCUCUUCUCUAUGGGGCAAUCUGGCUGGUCAGGAUGGAUGAUUGAAAGAUGCUGGGGGCAAGACAUGUUUCAGCAUUAAAGCUGAAAAAGUGACUGAAAUAUGAAGGAGCUCUGCGACACAGGUGCCAUGGCGAGUCUAAGAAUCAAUUUUGGAGCUGCAAGAAGAAGACAAAUCAAGCUGUGCUGUGUUGGCUUCUUUUCCACUAACGGUUUUACUGCGCUGAGUUGAGCCGAGACCUUUCCUCUGCGAGGGCCGCGGCGACAUUUUGCAACUGCGGCUGAUUCCUGACACCACACUUUACCUUCUUAAACAAGCCUGUGUUGCGUACUCAACUCAUGUCUGUGCCUUCAACCAAAACAACGCUGCAGACUUGAGGAGUGCCGCUCACGUACCGUCCAGUCUGCUUUAUCCUGUCUCUGUGGCAUUUUGAUUCAUUAUAAGCUCUGCUAAAAUACUUCAAAAAGUUUGCUUUUGUUGGUAAAAGUGUUAUUUUCUGCAGAUCGUAUUGUUAAGAGGACCUCCAAGUUCAAUAUGUAAUACGUCUGUGAUGAUAAUGGUUCGUUGUAAAGUAAUUCAUCGACCUCACCUCGUAUCAUGACUUUGCUACUGUAGCUUGGUUGUAGCUUCAUAAGUAAUGCAGUGUGACUUCCUUGCCUUACAUGAGCUGAAUGAUUCCUUUCUGUAUUUUGUCUUUUUCUGGAGCUUGUCACUACGCAGUUGCCUGUGAGAGUAUUAAUAUGAAU
Long non-coding RNA from Acanthopagrus latus (yellowfin seabream), 809 nucleotides. RefSeq lists it as uncharacterized. The transcript has 3 exons. Lineage: Eukaryota; Metazoa; Chordata; Actinopteri; Spariformes; Sparidae. The record is from RefSeq and is a predicted model, not a curated record.